UGGGAAUUUGUGGGAAAGUUGCUCCGUUUUGGGAAUUGUCGCUGCCCAUGGGGUGGGAUCAGCUCGGAAUUCCCACUCAAAGGAUUCCAGGAUCCUGUGGGAUGGAGGGAGUUUUUCCAAGGAAUUUGUGGGGAUGUUUCAUGGAUGGGAAUUGGGAAUUGGGAAUUGUCACUGCCUGUGGAAUGGGAUCAGCUCAGAAUUCCCAACUGGAGCAUUCCAGGAUCCUGUGGGAUGGAGGGAGUUUUUCCUGGGAAUUUGUGGGUUGUUUCAUGGAUGGGAAUUGGGAAUUGGGAAUUGGGAAUUGGGAAUUGUCACUGCCCAUGGAAUUCCCACCUGGAACAUUCCAGGAUCCCAUGGAAUGGAGGGAAUUUUUCCUGGGAAUUUUUGGGGUGUUUCAUCCCUGGGGUUGCUCAGGGACGAGUUUUGGGAAUUGUGGAGUGGGAUCAGCUCAGAAUUCCCACCCAGAGCAUUCCAGGUUCCUGUGGGAUGGAGGGAGUUUUUCCAUGGAAGUUGUGGGGAUGUUUCACGGAUGGGAAUUGGGAGUUGUCGCUGCCCAUGGAAGGGGAUCACCUUGGAAUUCUCACCCAAAGAAUUCCGAGAUCUUGUGGAAUCGAGGGAGUUUUUCCAGGGAAUUUGUGGGGAUGUUUCAUGGAUGGGAAUUGGGAAUUGGGAAUCAGGAAUUGUCACUGCCCAUGGGAUGGGAUCAGCUCGGAAUUCCCACCUGGAGAAUUCCAGGAUUCUGUGGGAUGGAGGGAGUGUUUCCAUGGAAGUUGUGGGGUGUUUCAUGGAUGGGAAUUGGGAAUUGGGAAUUGGGAAUUGUCACUGGCUGUGGAAUGGGAUCAGCUCAGAAUUCCCACCUGGAGCAUUCCAGGAUCCUGGAAUGGAGGGAGUUUUUCCUGGGAAUUUGUGGGAAAAUUGCUCAGGGAUGAGUUUUGGGAAUUGUCGCUGCCCAUGGAGUGGGAUCAGCUCAGAAUUCCCACCCGAAGAAUUCUGGGAUCUUGUGGAAUGGAGGGAGUUUUUCCAGGGAAUUUUUUGGGUUGUUUCAUCCAGGGAUGAGUUUUGGGAAUUGUCGCUGCCCAUGGAAUGGGAUCAACUUGGAAUUCCCACCUGGGGCAUUCCAGGAUCCUGUGGAAUGGAGUUUUUCCUGGGAAUUUGUGGGGUGUUUCAUCCAGGGAUGAGUUUUGGGAAUUGUUGCUGCCCAUGGAAUGGAAUCAGCUCGGAAUUCCCACCCAAAGAAUUCCGGGAUCUUGUGGAAUCAAGGGAAUUUUUCCAGGGAAUUUGUGGGGAUGUUUCACGAAUGGGAUGAGUUUUGGGAAUUGUCGCCACCCAUGGAAUUCCCACCCAGAACAUUCCAGGUUCCUAUGGAAUCGAGGGAGAUUUUCCUGGGAAUUUGUGGGAUGUUUCAUGGAUGGGAGGAGCUUUGGGAUUUGUCGCUGCCCAUGGAAUGGGUUCAGCUCGGAAUUCCCACCCGGAGCAUUCCCGGAUCCUGUGGAAUGGAGGGAGAUUUGGGGUUGCUCCCCAGGGAUUGGGAUUGUCCCCGGAUAACUGGGAGAGGCUCUGGAGUGGGAUUUGGAUCCAGAGGGGUUGGAUGAGGGGAACACAGGCAGGGAAAUCCCAAUGGGAAAAGCUCCCGUGGGAUGAGGAGGGAGAGAUC
This 1654-nucleotide long non-coding RNA is filed under the name Zonotrichia albicollis (white-throated sparrow). RNAcentral's name for it is "lncRNA (ENSZALG00000004265.1)". The record is from RNAcentral. Lineage: Eukaryota; Metazoa; Chordata; Aves; Passeriformes; Passerellidae.